GCCUGCAUGGUGUAAUGGUUCGAGCGUUGGACUACGACUCUCAAGACCAGGGUUUCAUUCCCCGUUUGGCCA
Molecule: non-coding RNA, 72 nt
Organism: Phrynosoma platyrhinos (Desert horned lizard)
Lineage: Eukaryota; Metazoa; Chordata; Lepidosauria; Squamata; Phrynosomatidae
Source: the annotation of a GenBank genome assembly